RNAcentral lists this transfer RNA (73 nucleotides) under Patiria miniata (bat star). RNAcentral's name for it is "tRNA-Ala". It matches the Rfam family "tRNA". From Rfam's summary of the family: Transfer RNA (tRNA) molecules are approximately 80 nucleotides in length. Their secondary structure includes four short double-helical elements and three loops (D, anti-codon, and T loops). Further hydrogen bonds mediate the characteristic L-shaped molecular structure. tRNAs have two regions of fundamental functional importance: the anti-codon, which is responsible for specific mRNA codon recognition, and the 3' end, to which the tRNAs corresponding amino acid is attached (by aminoacyl-tRNA synthetases). tRNAs cope with the degeneracy of the genetic code in two manners: having more than one tRNA (with a specific anti-codon) for a particular amino acid; and 'wobble' base-pairing, i.e. permitting non-standard base-pairing at the 3rd anti-codon position. Lineage: Eukaryota; Metazoa; Echinodermata; Asteroidea; Valvatida; Asterinidae. The record is from Rfam by way of RNAcentral.
GGCUGGAUAGCUCAGUUGGUAGAGCACUGGAACAGCAAUCCAGUGGUCACAGGUUCAAACCCUGCUCCAGUCA